This is a long non-coding RNA of Diceros bicornis minor, 379 nucleotides long. RefSeq lists it as uncharacterized. The record is from RefSeq and is a predicted model, not a curated record. NCBI's taxonomy places the organism in Eukaryota, Metazoa, Chordata, Mammalia, Perissodactyla, Rhinocerotidae. The transcript has 3 exons.
UCACCUUAUUUCUCUUAUCUAUAGAAUGGUUUUUGGUUAUUUCACAUCAACAUUUCUUGUCAUAGUUGCGGUAGGAUUUCAGAGAAACCUAUCAGAGACCACCUGGAAUCUACACUGAACCGGCAUUUGGGCCCAUUGAGCCCCUCUGGAUCACUGCAUUCUUCAGGUGACCCUGAGAGCUCCCAGACCUUAAGGAUCAUGGACUAUAACCUGGAGAAUUAUUUAUCAGAAGAGGCAUCAAAUAAAAGACUCUUUGCAGCCCUGUUGGAAAGGACCAUACCAGUCCUCAGAGCUAUGAAGAAUGAGCCUGCUCUUCCAUGAGACCACACUCCCAGUAACAGCGCUUAUAGCUGUGGAAGGUUGAACCGGUGUCCCCUCC